This is a non-coding RNA of Nothobranchius furzeri (turquoise killifish), 373 nucleotides long. NCBI's taxonomy places the organism in Eukaryota, Metazoa, Chordata, Actinopteri, Cyprinodontiformes, Nothobranchiidae. The record is from RefSeq and is a predicted model, not a curated record.
GCAGCUAAUUGCCAUCAGCCUGGCCAGAGGAUUUAAGGAGCGGUGCUGCCAUACCUCAAUGCCGGUUGAUACUCUACUGUUGGCCCUGGAUUCCCUCCACCUGCCUGAGGUGUGAUUUAUCACAAGCGUCGUUCAGCUUCCCUGGCCUCCUGCUCUCCACCGCUCACCUGCCUUCCUGGAUCCAGCAUCACCUCCAGCGACCAUCUCCUCCCUGCAUCAACCUGACUUGCCUCUCCCUCCUGCCCCUCGUCCUGCUCAACUCAAGUCGGAGUUGCCUUGUUUCCUGUCCCGUUUGGAUCAGCGCCCUCAGUUUUUGCUUUGUUUUCUUUAUAAAAUAAAGAUUUUAUUAUCAUCUCUUACCCUAUCCCUGAGU